This 513-nucleotide ribosomal RNA is filed under the name uncultured bacterium. RNAcentral describes it as "bacterial SSU rRNA". It matches the Rfam family "Bacterial small subunit ribosomal RNA", at positions 8 to 526 of the family's 1533-position model. The record is from RNAcentral.
AGAGUUUGAUCAUGGCUCAGGAUGAACGCUGGCGGCGUGCCUAACGCAUGCAAGUCGAGCGAGGGCCAUCUGGUGGCAACACCGGGUGGUGCCUAGCGGCGAACGGGUGAGUAACACGUGGGCAACCUGCCCCCGACUCUGGGAUAAGCCAGGGAAACUGGGCCUAAUACCGGAUAUGACCGCUGACCGCAUGGUCUGGUGGUGGAAAGAUUUAUCGGCUGGGGAUGGGCCCGCGGCCUAUCAGCUUGUUGGUGGGGUAGUGGCCUACCAAGGCGACGACGGGUAGCCGGCCUGAGAGGGUGACCGGCCACACUGGGACUGAGACACGGCCCAGACUCCUACGGGAGGCAGCAGUGGGGAAUAUUGCGCAAUGGGCGAAAGCCUGACGCAGCGACGCCGCGUGGGGGAUGACGGCCUUCGGGUUGUAAACCUCUUUCAGCAGGGACGAAGCGCAAGUGACGGUACCUGCAGAAGAAGCACCGGCCAACUACGUGCCAGCAGCGGCGGUAAUUC